Molecule: ribosomal RNA, 204 nt
Filed under: uncultured bacterium
Lineage: Bacteria
Description: partial 16S ribosomal RNA
Rfam family: Bacterial small subunit ribosomal RNA
Source: RNAcentral
GACGAACGCUGGCGGCGUGCUUAACACAUGCAAGUCGAGGGCGUGCAGCAAUGCAUGACCGGCGAACGGGUGCGUAACACGUGAGCGACCUUCCGUCUUCUGGGGGAUAGCCGGCCCAACGGCCGGGUAAUACCGCAUACGCUCAUCGGGGGGCAUCCCUUGAUGAGGAAACUUCCGGGGGAGGACGAGGGGCUCGCGGCCUAU